RNAcentral lists this long non-coding RNA (37847 nucleotides) under Lactuca sativa (garden lettuce). RNAcentral describes it as "long non-coding RNA (LSAT_LNC000062)". Lineage: Eukaryota; Viridiplantae; Streptophyta; Magnoliopsida; Asterales; Asteraceae. The record is from RNAcentral.
CCUAGUUCACUUAAACUAAUGCUCUGAUACCAACUGUGACAUCCCCAUUUUAACGGCCAGAAAAGACCGAUUUGUUUAUGCUUAUUUAAAAAUCGGAGUAUCCUUUUUGAAGAAUAAUAUUGCGGAAUUUGUUCCCAGAAAACAUGAUAAUGAUAUUAUCAAAGCAUUUCCGAAGAAAUGUAUUUUAUUUAUAUUAGAAUAUUGGGGGAUGUCAUCGUCAAUAUAGAAACAUAAGCAUAACGAAAUAUUACAAGCCUUACAGUAAUUAAACUAGUGGCUUUAAUACUUUUAGAAUCUUUCAGCUAAAUGUAUCUUUAAUAUCGCUACCUGUGAUACAAUAAACUGAGUGGGUCAGGUUGGGAAACCUGAUGAGUACAUAGGGUUUUCAACCCACAAUAAUAUAAUUAUUAUGUUUAAUCAUCAAAUAAUUAACCCAAUUUCCAUCCUCAUUAUCUUCUUUAUUCUUAAGGAUCUACCUUAAGAAUCAUCUAUACUUCAUUUAUUUAUUCCUAAGGAAUAGACACAAAGUCCAUCGCUGCCAAGAUUUAUCUAAUAGGAACUAAGUCCAUAACUGCCGAUGUUAUUUAUUAGGCACUAAGUCCAUAGAUGUCAAUGUUCAUUUAUAUGGCACUAAGUCCAUAGAUUCUAGGGUUUUUAGAGUACAUCUGGUGAACACGUAGUUCAAAAACACAUACAGGUUGCAAGCAUGCUAGCGUUCCACUGGAUUGUCUAGAAUCGUCCGUGGUUGUCAUCUAUACUUUGCUAGAUGACUGGAUCAACUUUAAAGUCAAAGCUUCUCAUCAUCCUUCACCCCUCAACAUCUAUAUCAUCUUUCAUAUCUCAUCAUCCAUAUAAUCUUUCAUCUACCCAUAUUUACCGACUAUAUUUAUAUGUAUAAAAAUACAUAUACAAUUUAAAUCAAGUAAAAUAUGUAUAAAUCGUUCAUCUAGCAUACAUAUCAGGAACACGGCUAAUAAGAACAUAUAGCAUGUAUUAAUAUUAAAUACUCCAUACCUAGAUGAAAGUAACUAUGCACUAACUUGUUAAAGUGACGACUCAAAAUUUGGACAACGUUUCGCUUCUAGAAACUGUCUUUUCCUUUGGCGUAACCCAAUAUCAUUAUCACUAAUUUUUAGUCUAAUAUUUAUUGCGACUAAUUAUUAGCUUAGAUUCAUCAUUAAUUCAAAGUCUACUUCAAGAUCUAGCCUAGACAUAAUCCCCGUAAGUAGAUCAAUAAAUAUAACGACUUGGAAUCACUGAUAAAUCUUGUUUAUAGCUUCAUAAUAACGAUAAUGAACUUAACAUAAGUUAUACUUAAAGUAAGGUAAGCAUAACUCAACUUACAGGUGGUUUAGCGAGAAACCGGACCCUACGCGGGCAGAACUUCUAAGCCAAAUGCUCUACUUCUCGGGGCUUUCUGGCACUUCGGGGCUUUGCUACUAACACCUACAAAUUGCUAGAGAAAGGCAUUGAGACCUUAGGGUGUUGGGAGAGAGUUGGGUAGAAAGGUGUGAAGAAAAGAGUGAUUUUCGAGCUCUAUUUAUAGCUACCACCAACCGAGUACGUGGGGCAUACUCAAAGGGUAUGUAGGGCGUACUAUAGUAUGCUAGGCGUACUCAUGCCACGUGUCACAAUCUGGAGGCAAGCCAUGGGGAAGAAGGUGUGGUGCUAGAUCGAGUCACAUGUCGCCUUCUGGUUAAUCCAAAAAUUAAUUAUCUUGUAAAAUUCAUAACUUUUGCAUAUGAGAUUCGUUUUUGACGUUAUUUAUAUCCACAUGUAGCUAUCGACGGGAUCUACAACUUUCGUUUAUACUCCGUAGGCUACUUGUAACAACCAUAACAUUCAAACCAAUUUAAAACUUUUUAAAACAUUUCAAAACCAUUAAACAUUACAAAAUUUGUUUUCAAAAUAGUAUAAUAUCAGAGUAUCGCAGAAACAAGGUCAUAAACAUGAGGAGCUGUAUGAUCACACCUUUGCCUUCCCGCGAGCAUAUGAGGUACCUGAAACCAAAACUGAAGUUGUAAGCCUAAAGCUUAGUGAGUUCCCCCAAAAUACCCAUACACACAACAAUAUACAUACAAUCACGAACAACACGCUAUGGGUCCAGUCAACAAUCUGGUUGGAAUACCCCAGGCCCUCAACCAUCUGGUUGGAAUGCCGACAUACUAUGGGUCUAAUCAUCCUCGGGAUGGAAUACCCAAGGCCCACAACGAAUAGGUUGAAAUGCCCACAUACUACGAGUCCAAUCAUCAUUGGGAUGAAAUACUCACGACCCACAACCAUCGGGUUUGAAUGCCCACGUCUAUUGGCUUUCGCAAAAAGCAUAUAAGCCUCAACCACCAAUCAAACAUGUGCAUAUAUAUAUAUAUAUAUAUAUAUAUAUAUAUAUAUAUAUAUAUAUAGAGAGAGAGANAUAUAACAGUCUAUAGACAGACAAACCGAUCUAACAGAUCAUAGCAACAUAUAACAUCCUAUUUACCAGUAUACUGAUCUAACGGAUCAUAACAACAUAUAACAUCAUAUCUACCAAGAUACUGAUCUAACGAACCAUAACAACAUAUAACAUCCUAUCUACUAGGAUACUGAUCUAACGGAUCAUACAAUACUCGGCAUAUAACAUAUUAGGAUAACAAUCCAAAAGGGUCUGCCUUUGUGCCUUAGACCCUUGAGUAUAGUGAGGAAACUCACCUCUUAACUGUAGAAUCAAAGUGAUAAUCUCAAACUCUCGAACCACGACCACGAACUCCAUCACCUAUAUUUACCAUAAGACCAUUUCCAUAAAUUUCCAAUUUACCAAAAUACCCCAGAAGUCAACUAGUCAACCCUUGGUCAAAGUCCAAGUCAAUGGUCAAGGUCAACAGUCCAUGUUGACCCGACUCGUUGAGUGCAGUUCACCGACUCGUUGAGUCCUUCCUGAACUCGAGAAGUCGUGAAAUCCCCUGUUGACUCGUCGAGUUUCCCUACAACUCGUCGAGUUCAUGCAUGUCCAAAUGUCGGGAAAACCCUAGCUGACUCGUCGAGUCAUCCUACUGACUCCCCGAGUCCAUGCAGAAAUCCUUGCACGGCAAUCUUCAUCGGACUCGCCGAGUUGGCCAUGAAACUCGUCGAGUCCCUUCAGUCCUUUCUCCAUCCAGACGAUUUUUAAGCCACUUUAAAAUUCCAUAAUGCAGAUCCAAGCUCCUAAGGCAUACUUCUUAAGUAAAGUUGCAAACUUUACGUAGAUGCAAGGUGAUAAUGGCCCAAAUCAAGCUAAAGAAAGGUUCUAAGGGAUGAAGAAGGUAUUAACUCACUAAAGGCUGAAACUUUAUGAUCUUGCAGACCAAGAUAAGCCUAGAUUUGAAGUUGCAACUUCAGAUCACGCCUCAUACCCAAAAUAAUAUAUCAACAUGGAUAAAGUGGCCCUAAUCUCAUACAUGCAUAAAUCUAGAUAGAAGAAGGUCAAGGUAACAACUUGUUACCUCAAAAACGAUGCUAAGAUGAAGUAGGACUCAGAUCUACAACCUUCCUCUUGUUCCAAGCUUGAGUACUUCAAGAUCUUCCUUCUAUAAUCCACCACAAGGCUUAAUAUCACACAACAAGAGAGAAAAACAACGAUUUAGUGUUUCUGGACUCACAAGGGGCUGUAAGGGAGGCUAAGUGAGGCUAAUGACCCUUUAAAUAGGGUGCAAAACCCCGGAAUUUAGGGUUUCAUUCUCCAGCUCCAACUCCAACUCCAACUCGUCGAGUUAUGCCUUCGACUCGGCGAGUUGGUCACUUAAACACGCGACCUAAAAGGUUCCAACUCAACGAGUCAGGGCAUCCAACUCGUCGAGUAGACCUUUCAAUAUGAAAAAUAAAUUUGUAAAAUUUAUACCUGAGAGUUGGGGUGUUACUCUAAUUUUGACUUUAUUUUUAAAGUUAUAUUUUAAAUGACUUAGACAGUUAAAGUCUGUUAAAAAUUCAUAACUUUGUUGUCCGACGUCCGUUUUUGACUGUCUUUAUAUCGUUGAGCUCCUAUUAACGAGAUAUUUAAUUCUCGUUUAGAUUAUAAUAAUCAAUCGAUCUAAAAUUUGAUUUCCGAGCUAUACACUGCUACGAUGAAUCUUAGAAAAAUCAUAACUUCUUCAAAUGAAGUCAGAUUUGGACGUUCUCUAUAUGCACGCUCUCGGUUUAACGACUACUACGACUUCCGUUUAGAUUGCCAAAGAUAAAAAGUAUGUUUUCAAAAAUCUACUUUUUACGAUACGCAGAGCUGUGCCGGUUUAAUCGCGAAACUUUGACAGAUCAUAACUUUUUCGUUAUAAGUCGGAUUUUAGUGUUCUUUAUAUGUACGAAAUCAUAUACUAUAACUUUGGUUAAGAUUAUUUAUCCUAAAUAAUCUUCUAUAAAAAAGUUAUUUUUAACACUUAUUAUCUUUAAAUUGACCAACCCUAAUCUGCGGGCAUUACACAAUCCCCAAUCAGGAUCAAAGAGCAUAUAACAAGCCAGAGGUUUCAUAAGUUGCAACGAUUUGGAUAAAUGGAGAAGAUAAUGGGGAUUAUGGUACUAGAAGUAUUGAGGUGAAAACACAUAACAAUGAAUCUAAGAGUGUUCAAUACUAUUUUGGUUGUUAUUAACCUUUACAAUACCUUUUGAUGUUCCUAUUCGGAGAGCUUGGUUAGCAUCAAGGUAUUAUUAAAAAGAGUGAAACUGACAAGAACAAAAAAGGGAGAAUUAUUUUCGUUGCUGAGAAGCUUAUUUCCCCACAGAGUUUUGUAAAUGCAGAAGAUUUACUGGCCAUGGAAGAAAAUAGUAAGAUAUAUUUUCCUUAGCUACAUUAGUUGUAUUUAACAUAAUUGUAAAUUAUUUCUUUUUCUUUUUGCAGUAUUGGGAAAGAAAUCUCAUAACCCAAAAUUCAUUUCAGUUAGAGAAUAAUACGCUUACAAAUUACAAAUACGUCUCGAUGAUAAGUCUUGCUUGUUACAUUUUGGUAGAUUAUUACAACAGUACAUAGUCGAUAAUUAUGUUAAGCUUGAAACACAAAGAUUGGGUUUUUAUAAAACACAACAACAUGAGCUCUGACAAGAAUUUCUCCAAGGAGUAGUAGAUGCCAUAGCAAGUGGUGAGACAGACGUUUCAACCAUUGGCAAACCUCAAACCUUUGAACCAAUGAUGGGUAUGGAAAAGCACAAUCCAAUCAACAUGGAGAUCCAAAUGCCAAAAGAAAAAAAGAUUGCCUCAUCCCCAACCCUCUCGCUUCCUUUACAAAAAAUAAAAGAAGAAAAUGCAGCCCAACAAAUGACAUCAGAUUCAGAAUCACGAAGGCGCAAACAACCUAAUAACCCACCUCUCGACAAUGCUAAAACUAAAGAAAUUGAGAAGGAAAUGCUUGCUAAAAACGCAAAAUGAAAUCAAAAAGAAGAAAACUCCAACCUUUUUUGCGUUUUGAAGGACACUCUUCGACAUGAAAUAUAAAGAAUGCUAGGGAAGUUACUAUAUUGGCGUUUACUCUACAUAUGAAGAAUGCUAGGGAAGUCAUCCAAAAAGACAAAAUGAAUUCGAAAAAAAAGAAACCUCCACUCUUUCUUGGCGUUUUAAAGAACACUCUUAGACAUGAAAAUAUGAACAAUGGCAGGUUACUCAAUCCACCGUCAUAGCCAAAUUUUGUAAAUAACUUCAAUGACUAUCUAUUUUGGUAUAUGUAGAUAUAUAUAUANNNNNNNNNNNNNNNNNNNNNNNNNNNNNNNNNNNNNNNNNNNNNNNNNNNNNNNNNNNNNNNNNNNNNNNNNNNNNNNNNNNNNUUUGUAAAGCACAAAAAAACAACAUUUUACUAUGCAAUGAAUGUGAAUAUGUUAAAAUACAUAUAUAUGUUAGACCCGAAUAGAAUACCCAUCUUCUUCACACAUAACGCAUCACACUGUCGUCCUUUGAGAAUUACCUAGUUUAUUUAUAUAAGAUAAUGAAAUUAAUCUAAAUUCAUCUAUUUUUAUUUUCUAGCCCGAGAACAUCCCAAAAAUAAUAAUCAUACGAUUAUAAUAAUAAUCAUAAAAUAAUGGAAUUAAUCUAAAUUCAUUUAUUAAUCUAAUAUAUUUUUAUACGUCCCAAAAAUUAAUUGUAGUAACUGUGAUUACAAGUCAAGAAUACAUCAAUACUUUAAUCAUCAAAAGAAACAUUAAAAUCAUUACUAAUACCAUAAACUACAACAAAAAAUUACAAAUAAAACAAUUGUAAAAAAUUGGUAAUUACAAUCAUUAACUAUAAAUAAGUACGUUACAAGAACUAAUAAUAAUAAUAAUAAUCAUACAAUUAACGUUGUAUUUAUAUAAAUAAAAUAUGAAUAUUGAAUGUUUCAAUAAUCUGAGUAUAUAAAACUUUUCCGGUUAUUUUUUUAAUUUAAUUUUAAUAAUAAUAGUUAUUAUUAUUAUUAUUAUUAUUAUUUUUUUUAAAUCGACAAACUAACUAAUCUAUUCCUAAAUAAACACCUAUGUCUCCACCGAGACUUGAACCCCAGACCUCUCAUAUGAGAUGGUCACUCCGUACUGCUAGGCCAUUGGCCAUUUGGUUAUUAUUUUAUUAAGUGAUUGAAUGAAUUAAAGAGUUUGAUUGAUUCAAAUGAAGAUGGAAAUCAUAAACGAGUCCCAUGCAAAAUUUGAAAUAAAAAAGGGGUACAAAAGUAAAGGAAGAGUACUCAUAAUAGUAUCCUUAAUUUAUGUUUCUACACGAGAAAAACACAAAUAGAAAUUAUUGUUCCAAUCAUUAGACAUAUUAACUGUUAAAGAGUUAUAACUUUGUGAAAAGAAACGUUUUUAGGUUUGUUCUUAUAUGCAUGUCACAUGAAUUUUAUAUGACGGUUGAUUAUAUAUUUGUUAUAUUAUUUUUCAUUCCAUAACACGUAACAAAUGUCAUAUACUAAAGCCGAUAAGCUUAAGACAAAAGUUGAAGUCAAAAAAUUGACAUGGCAGGAAAAGCAGAAAGUUGCAGACGAAGAAGAAGAAACCAUUACAGAACUCAUCAAAGAGCAUACAAGAUGGGUACGAGUGUAUUAAUUGAUAAUAUAUUUAUAUAGUAUAUACUACAAUCACUAUUUGUACGUAAUAUGUGUUUUUGGCAGACCACUAUGAUUGAACAUAUGGACAGCCAACAGAUGAAAUUGUAUCUGAAAGAAAGAUCAGAGAGUUUGAAGACUCUGAAGAUUGAAAAGCUUGAACCCAUCAAAAGGGUAAGAAAUUUUCUUAUUUUUUGUAUUAAUCAAUAUCUUUUUUGAAUAAAAUGACACCUUUUAUUUUUAAUGAAAUUCUAAGAUUUUCUAUUGCACACCAACAUAAGAUAAGUGUUAGGCUAGACGGAGUGGAUGCCAGAAAGGGGUGAGUGAAGCUUCCUUCACUCCUGCACACCACUCUGUGGGUGAGGGAAAGAACCGCGGGAAAAGAGGUGGGGGGAGGGGGUGCCGCACUCUCUUUCCUCACGCUAUUGGCUAGUUUAUUUUAUUUUAUUUUAUUUUAUUUUUUUAAAUCUUUUUUAAUAUUUAUAAAAUUAUAUACCUACUAUAAAAAUAUAAAAAAUAUAUCAAAAUUCAUGGUUUUUAAUUCCCUACAAAAUGAGUAUAAUAUAUGUAUGAAAUAUAUUAAAAAAAAAAAAAGUGAGGGAAGGACUUCCCACCAAUUCCUUGGCUUUUAGGUGAGGGAAAGGAAAGUAAAGGAAAGAGGGGUAUGGCCCACCAAAAGUGAGGGAAGCUUCCCUCCCACACCCUCCGGUCUUAUAAGGUAGCUGUUUCACUAGUUGUUGGUAUGAAAUAAGGAUUUACAUUAUAAUAGUACCAUUUAUAGUUAUAUGGCUUAUUGAAAAAAAUAUAUAUAUAAGUUAGAGUUCUUAUGAGGUUUUGAUGAUUUUGCAGGUGAAAAAGGUUCAGAAAUGCAUGAAUGCUAAGAGCAGCGGAAUCAUGUCAACAGUAUGGAAAUUCCAUAAAAAAGAGAACAAGUGAUAUGAACAAAGACAAUAAUUGGUCAACCACUUAUGUUAUAUCGAUUAACAACUUUUUUAAUGUAUUAGCCAUGUACCUUGGUGGAUUUUUAAGUUGUAUUAAAUGGUAGAAUAUCUUAUUCAGUGAAGAAAAUCACAUUCUCCAUGACUUCAUUUUGUAAUUUAUUUAAAGAGACAUGAACUCCUUGGUAAUUAGUCAUUAUGGGUUUAACUUUCAAUAAGCAUUUUGUACUAAUAUCUCGAUAACUGGGGAUAUUAGUGUGGAUUGGUGCUUAAAUGAUGAUACCUGUUACAAAUUUCACAAUAAUGAUCAAGUUAUUAUUAUGGUUUUUCUAAGUUGAAAUCUGAGAGAUGGAACAAAGCAGAAAUUACAAAAUUAUUAUUUCAACAAAAACAUGUAAGAUGUUUUGGAUUAGGUCAAAACAUAACAGAGAGAUUUUAUAGGUCAUAUCGACUUAGAAGUUAGAACUCAUUAUAUGCUGACAUGUUGAAGCGAAUUGUAAGCGUGAUAAAUAUGCUCCACAAAUACAUGAGUUUAUGUGAAUUUAAACAUGAUCACUUCAAAUUCAAGUGAUUUGCUUUUGUAAAGUGUUAAUAAUUUACGUUUUAAUAAUGUAUGAUUCUAUAUAUAUAUAUAUAUAUAUAUAUAUAUAUAGAGAGAGAGAGAGAGAGAGAGAGANUAUAUAUAUAUAUAUUAUCAAUUAUGAAUGAUAUGGUUGUUUGUAUGACAUGAUAAUAAGUAUGUUGUAGGCUUGUAGCAAUUGCAUAAAAUUUUUAAAAUAUAUAUACUAUAAAAAUGUGGCAUUACACUAGUUGAAGGUGUAGGUGUGUAGACAAAAGAUAUGUCUAGGGUCUAAAGUUGAUAAUAAAGGGAAAAGUCAAAAAUGACUUUGACCUCAUAGUACCUAACAUUAACCUGCUCUACGUAUGUAAACAAGGGAUAUGUCCAGGUUCUAAAGUGUUGUUAGAGCAUCUAGAGUUUUUUUUAUAAAUCUUUUUGGUAUCAUGUCAUUGCCAGUUUGUUAACACCUAGCUAUAAUACAAGAGUUCUUUAUACUUGACAUACUAAACAUAUUUAUAUUAUAUUAUUUUGUUUUUUAUAUUAGUUAGCUUGAUUAUAAUUGGUUGAAUAUAUUUAGAUCUUAGUAUAAUGGUUACAAAAGUUCUAUGAAGUACUUAUUAAUUAACAAACCAAAGGGCUUGUAGCCCAGCGGUAUCAUGUGGUGUCUUCCCUCUUUGAGGUCGAGGGUUCAAGUCCCGUCGUGGACAUAUGUGGAAUAGGUGUUGUUAGCUUAGAAGUAGAUUAGAUUUGCCGGUUAAAAAAAAACUUAUUAAUUAACAAGCUUUCUUGUAAAAAGUUUGAGUGAAAAAGUUUCCACUAUAGAAAUAGAGCUUUAUCAAAACGGAUUUAAAAAAAAAUCUUAUUAUGGAUUCCUCUUAAUAAAGAAAAGAAAAAUAAAAAAUAACUUUUGACAACAUGAUAGUACUUCAAGUUAUCAUAUUUUUUGUUUUUGAGUUUUAGAUUUAUGAUUUUGAAAUUUUACAAAUUUGCGAAUUUCUUUCAUAGAUUAGAUAUAACAAAUUCUUUGAUUUUUUACUCUUUACUUUUUUUUUUUUUUUUUUUAAAUGGUUUUUAAAGACUUAUUAAAAAAAAUCAAAAAUUUUAAAAAAUGAUUUCUUUGUUUAUUUUUGCAGAUAUUAUCUAUCAUUUUAGAAAAAAAAAACAAUAUCUUUUGGUGAUUUCAUGAAUGAUUUGCUAAUUUCAUGAACGAUUUGUUCAUUUCACAGAUCUUAUUUAUAAAAAUUAUUGCUAUUUUGAUGGUUAAACUAAUUUUUUUUAUUGUUAUUUAACUAUAAUAGAAAUAGAUAUGAUUAAAUAUAUCUGUCUUUUCUCAUGUAAAUUUAUACAUAAAAUUUACAUGGUUUGACUCAAAUAUAUUCUAACUAAUCAUGAUAUUUUAUUAUUAUUAUUAUUCAUUCUAAACUCAUGUAUCUUUCAAAUCCGAUCGAUUUUUGUCUCUCUCUUUUAUUAUUAUUAUUAUUAUUAUUAUUAUUAUUAUUAUUAUUAUUAUUAUUAUUAUUAUUAUUAUUAUUAUUAUUAUUAUUAUUNNNNNNNNNNNNNNNNNNNNNNNNNNNNNNNNNNNNNNNNNNNNNNNNNNNNNNNNNNNNNNNNNNNNNNNNNNNNNNNNNNNNNNNNNNNNNNNNNNNNNNNNNNNNNNNNNNNNNNNNNNNNNNNNNNNNNNNNNNNNNNNNNNNNNNNNNNNNNNNNNNNNNNNNNNNNNNNNNNNNNNNNNNNNNNNNNNNNNNNNNNNNNNNNNNNNNNNNNNNNNNNNNNNNNNNNNNNNNNNNNNNNNNNNNNNNNNNNNNNNNNNNNNNNNNNNNNNNNNNNNNNNNNNNNNNNNNNNNNNNNNNNNNNNNNNNNNNNNNNNNNNNNNNNNNNNNNNNNNNNNNNNNNNNNNNNNNNNNNNNNNNNNNNNNNNNNNNNNNNNNNNNNNNNNNNNNNNNNNNNNNNNNNNNNNNNNNNNNNNNNNNNNNNNNNNNNNNNNNNNNNNNNNNNNNNNNNNNNNNNNNNNNNNNNNNNNNNNNNNNNNNNNNNNNNNNNNNNNNNNNNNNNNNNNNNNNNNNNNNNNNNNNNNNNNNNNNNNNNNNNNNNNNNNNNNNNNNNNNNNNNNNNNNNNNNNNNNNNNNNNNNNNNNNNNNNNNNNNNNNNNNNNNNNNNNNNNNNNNNNNNNNNNNNNNNNNNNNNNNNNNNNNNNNNNNNNNNNNNNNNNNNNNNNNNNNNNNNNNNNNNNNNNNNNNNNNNNNNNNNNNNNNNNNNNNNNNNNNNNNNNNNNNNNNNNNNNNNNNNNNNNNNNNNNNNNNNNNNNNNNNNNNNNNNNNNNNNNNNNNNNNNNNNNNNNNNNNNNNNNNNNNNNNNNNNNNNNNNNNNNNNNNNNNNNNNNNNNNNNNNNNNNNNNNNNNNNNNNNNNNNNNNNNNNNNNNNNNNNNNNNNNNNNNNNNNNNNNNNNNNNNNNNNNNNNNNNNNNNNNNNNNNNNNNNNNNNNNNNNNNNNNNNNNNNNNNNNNNNNNNNNNNNNNNNNNNNNNAACUUAAAUAUAAAUUUCAGUUCCACCUAAAAAACCAAAUAAUAUUUUGUAAAUAGUUAAAAGUGAUAAAUGCAAAAACUAAAUUGUAAUAUCAGUUUAACUAAAAUAUUUCCUAAAUAUAUUUAUAUAAUCGUUAAAAAAUUUCAAAUAAGUAGCUUAAAAUAACUUAUAAUAACAAUAGUUAAAAAUAACUCUAUAUAAAUUAUUAUAUUGUUACCUUUAAAAUCAAAAAAUAAUGUUUGAUGUUUUAAAUAGUUAUAAUAUAGAAAUUAAAACAUUAAGCAAAUAAAAUUUAAAAAAAUUAGUUAAAAAUAACAUCUAUAAAUAAUAUUAAACCAUAUAUAAUAUUUAAUUUUAUUGACGUGUAACUCGCGAGUAAAAGUCAUUCAAAUGAUUGAAAUUAUUAUGUUACAAUAGAUUUAUAUAUUAUCAUAUAAUUCAAAAUAAUUAAUAUAAUAUAUCAAAUUAAUAUACGAAUUAUUAUAUCAAAUUUAACAACAACGUUAGUGUUAUAUUUUAAAAAAUAUAAAUUUGUACUGACUUCAACUAUAUAGGUGUUUCUGCGCAUUACAAUGUCAACUAAAAUAUAAAUUCCAGUUCCAUUUAAAAAAAUUAAAGAAUAUUUUGUAAAUAGUUAAAAGUGAUAAUUUGUAGUGAUAAAAGCAAAAACUAAAUUGUAAUUUCAAGUUAACUAAAAUAUUUCAUAAAUAUAUUUUUAUAAUCGUUAAAAGUUUUCAAAUAAGUAGCUUAAAAUAACUUACAAUAACAAUAGUUAAAAAUAACUCUAUAUAAAUGAUUAUAUUGUUAGCUUUAAAAUAAAAAAACAAUGUUUGAUGUUUUAAAUAAUUAUAAUGAUAAAAAUUAAAAAAUUAAGCAAAUAAAUUUUAAAAAAAUUAAUUAACAAAAAAAACAACUAUAUAUAAUAUCAAAUUAUAUAUUAUAUUUAAUUUUAUUCAUGUGUAACUCGCGGGUAGAAGUCAUUCAAACGAUUGAAAUUACAGAGUUAUAAUAAAUGUAUAUAUUAUUAUAUAAUUCAAAAUAAUCAAUAUAUUAUAUCAAUUUAGUAUAUACAAAUUAUUAUAUCAAAUUUAACAACAACGUUAUUGUUAUAUUUAAAAAAUCAUAUAUUUGUAAAGACUUCAACUAUAUAGAUGUUUCUGCGCAACGCGCGCGCGGGCAUUCGCCUAGUAGUAUUAAAAGGAUAGAUACAUAAUUGAAAAGGUUUUAUAACAGCAAAAUAUUUAUUUUUUUCUUAAAAAUAUGUAGUAUUAUAUACUUACAAAUAACGGAAAAAGUUAGUAUGAAAAUUGGUUUUAAUCCCCCUACGGCCUACGGCCUACAGCCGAGCAAGCGAAGAACAUUUCUAUUGCUUCGUUCCUAGAGACGCUAAACUCAUACGCAACACACACACGCACACAGACUUUCUGUAUUUCACUCUACGAGAACAAUAUAUAGGAGGAGAGCCGAUACUCGUAUAAAAAUAUAUUGAAACUAAAUCAAACUCCGUUCUUGAUCUAUUCCUUUUCUUUCAGUGUAAGACACAUCUUCAACUUUUAGGGUUUCAAACUUGAUCAGAAGAUUUCUCUUUCAUUAGGGUUUUGUGCGUUCAUACAUGUGUGUUCUUGAAUCUUAGUUCGAAGAUUGAGAAAAUGGUGAAUGAUUUCGAAGGCGGACGACAAGAAAAAGACAUCGUAGGUUCGUAUUUCUUGGAGUUAUGGAGAUCGAAGUCCAAGAAGGCAGCUGUUUCGUAUGCAAAAGAUGUUGAAAUGGUGAAUUUAGAUAAUGAAUGCGAAGAACUAGAAGAAGAGGAGGAGCCUGUUCCAACGGAGCUUGAUACUCUGAACAGUUCGGGUGGAUUCUCGAUUGUAUUGCCGAAUAAGCUUUCGGUUCAGUACCCGACUGUGAAUUUACAUGGCCAUGAUGUGGGUGUUGUUCAGGCCAAUUGCCCCGCCCCUGUCAAGCGUCUUCUCUAUUACUUUGAGAUUUAUGUCAAGAAUGCUGGCGCGAAAGGCCAAAUUGCAAUUGGAUUCACUACCGAGGGUUUCCAUAUGCGCAGACAGCCUGGGUAUGUAUGCGAUAACCGAUCAUUCUUGAUGCAUAUUCAUCUAAUCCAAAAUAAUUGACACUUUGUUAGUUAAUAUGCGCUAGAUACUUGUAAAUUAUGCUUGAUGCAUUAAAAUCUGUAGCCGCUAUAGUGAUGAUUCUUCAACUUCAAACCAGAGUCUUUAUUUUCAUAAGAAUUCUUAUCAUGUUGCAAAUGAGGGUAGGUCUGUAUUGCAACAUGAGGCUUUCUUCUAUUUUCAAGUGGCUUCUAUCACGUCCAUGGACUAGAAGAUGAAAUGAGAAGACAUAUGUGAUGAAAACAAGAAAAUACUUCAAUAUAAAAACCAUGACAACGCCCAAUACCUCUCUCUACCUUAUUUAUCCACUUGCUCUCACCCUUCAAUAUCAAACCUAAAAAGAAUUGAAAACAGAAACAUAAAACAUAAUGCUUAACUAUCCCUCUACCCAAACUGAUCUUGUUGCUCCUCAUACGUUAUCCUUGCUGGAAGCUACAUAUGUUGCAAUUUUUAUGCGAGUUCCAAUAUUAGUGGUUCAUGAUGGGUUCAGAUGUUUUUGCUUUCAUUAAUCUUGAUAAGAAGAUGCAAUUUGAAUUCACAUGGUAGCUCAGGAAGUUACUCAGAAAUGUAUCUUCUGCUAGUGAUGAAGCUGAUUAAUUGUACAUAUUACUAAAUGGGAACUUAUUGAUUAUUUGGUAGUGUGAGUUCCUUGCAGUAGUCUUGGGUGCCACAAAUAAGCCUACAAGAAUUUAGUUUUAGUCUAUAACAUGAACUUGGUCCUUAGAACGGGUUAAUUUGCAUAUUUUAUAUUGUUUGCUUUAGGAUAAAUUCUUUAUCAAAACCAACAAACUAGAAAAUCAAUGUUAAACUAACUGAACCCGUUUAGGAAGAGUUAUGUCAAGAACUUGGAAUAUCCUCUAAGGCCAAAUAUUCAUUGGGAAUAAUUACGGGGUAUGGAUGACAUUUGACUUGGGUAAUUUGUACCUUUUGUUUUACUAUUAACUUAAAUUAGUUGCUAUUUACCAGGAUAUCCAUUUUAUAAAGAUCGAGACUAAUGGUAGAUUUGGGGAGUGAGGGGAGAAGGAAGCAAAAUUAGAAAGAAACACAAGAAAGGACACUAGCUACUACUCACUUCUUCCCUUACAAUUUUGUUCACAUUAACAUAAGAAGCUGACUCACUUUAGAGUUUAGAGUGAGCAUCAAUUUUUGAGGAUCAUUUGUAGUGCUUAGUUUUGAAUGUUACCUGAACUUUUCAAAGGAAUAUGAACCAAAAGGCAAAAGGUUAUUGGGCUAAUCCACAGUCAACACACAUCCUCCAUGACUCAUCUUGUUUCUAAACUUCCAUUUAUCUGUGUAUUUUAGAAUCCUACUUUCUCAUUUGUUUCUGUUAGAGCAUUGUGUACUUAUUAAGGCUUUGUUGUUUGUGAUAGGUGGGAAGCAAACAGUUUUGGAUAUCAUGGGGAUGAUGGGCUGCUUUAUCGUGGACAUGGAAAAGGAGAGGCUUUUGGCCCAACUUAUUCCACUGGUGAUGUGGUUGGUGGUGGUAUCAACUAUACUUCACACGAGUUCUUCUUCACGUAACAUUCUUACUUAAAUUCUUAUUAACUGAUUGAGUUUCUUAUAUUUGCUUCUCCAAUAGUUCUUCUUUCAGACAUUUUACAGUAAAAUUUGUUUCUGAUGCCAGAAAAAAUGGUCAAGUGGUUGGAACAGUAGAGAAAGAUGUAAAAGGUCGCUUAUAUCCUACAAUUGCUGUUCAUAGUCAAUAUGAGGAGUAAGUUUGUUCUUUCUUUUCAACAUUCAAAUUUUCUUCAUACUUCAUCUAUAAUUUGGGUUUGAGCGGAUUGCCCCAACUGGCUAUCAUUUUUUUGGAGUACACGUUUCAUAUAUAUUCAUUUAAGUUUUAAAAUAAGUUUGAGCUUCUGCUACUUGAAUAGUUGAAUGUAUGGUUUGGUUAUAUGUAUUGGGAUUUCAUUGGAUGAUUUGUUUUUGUUUUAAGCUUAUUAAGAUAUUUUGCCAGUGUCCUAAUAUCCACAAAAGUUGAUGUUCUUUUUUGUAUGGUAUUAUUUUAUUGCAGGGUGAUUGUGAACUUUGGGAAAGAUCCCUUUAUUUUUGACCUCAAGGUAACAUAUCAUUUUUCAAGUUCUUUUGUUGUGUUUGGUUUUUACAGAUAGCUUUCUGCAAUGUAUUUUAUUUGUUGUUAUAUUUGGAAAAAAAAGUUAAAUGUUUAUAUAUAUUUUCUUGCAUCAUAUAUUAGAUAGUUCUUCUUAUGUGGUGCAAUAUAACAAGAUUUUGUGUUUAUAUUGGGGAACAGGCAUAUGAAGCAACUUUAAGGGCAAAACAACAGGCGGUUAUUGAAAGAAUACUUAUACCACAGGCAGCCAGUUAUGGGUAUGUUCAAAAAAUAUUGGAUUUAUUUUAAGUCUGAUCCUUAUCAAAUUUAAAUAUUGGAUUGGAAGUUUAGUGGAUAAUCAGGUUCUUAGAUAGUUUUGUAUAUCUAUAGUAUUUGUAUGAUGAUGUAAACUAAUUUGGUUAUCAGACUUAUUCGUUCCUACCUACAACAUUAUGGGUAUGAGGAGACUCUGAAUGUGUUAGAUGAGGCCAGCCAAACUUGUAUUCCUCCUAUUACUACUACUACUACUGGUGUUCAUGAUAAUGGCUUCAAUGAGUAUGGCGCGUAUGCAUUAAACCACAGAAAAAUUCUGAGAAAGGUAUGAAAUGGAUCAUAUGGUAUAUGCUUAUGAUAUGACUUCGUUUUAAUACAACAUUGAUUGAUGGUUUUUUUUUUUUAACUUUUUCUUCUUUAAAUCAUGUUCCUUUCUUGACUUGUAUUAAUAUUUUUUGAAGCUAAUCAAGGAUGGUCAAAUUGAUGAUGCAUUUGCUAAACUCCGUGAGUGGUAUCCCGAGACAGUUGAGGUAAUGAUUGCAUUAGAAACUCUCUUAUUAUAUUUUUCUGUUGCUUAAUCAUAUUCAUAUUCAUUCAUACAAGAAAAUUAAGCAUAUGGUAGAAAUGAUGAGAAAUUUUUGGGCUGUGUGCAGGAUGAUACAUCAGCCAUUUGUCUUAUGCUACAGUGUCAAAAGUUCAUUGAACUAGUUCGGGUAAAAUAAAAUUUCCAACUUUAAAGGCUUGUCUAUCUAUCUAUGUCAAUUGUCUGAAAAUCUAUUUGUUUUUUUUUUUUUUUAGGUUGGGCAUCUAGAGGAAGCUGUGGAGUAUGGAAGGAGUCAUUUUGAGAAGUUUUAUAAGUUGAAAGAGUAUGAAGAUCUUGUUAAGGUGAUUAUUCCCAUAACCUUGAUAAUAAAUUGAUAAGUGUUUGCAGGAGAGGGUAUUUAUGUCUUUUGUUGUAUAUAAAUUUUGUAGGACUGUGCGGGUUUAUUGGCGUACGAGGAUCCAAAGAAAUCAGGGGGGUUGGGAUAUCUUGUGGAGGAUUCACAGAGAGAGAACCUGGCGGAUGCAGUGAACGCAAUGAUAUUGUCAACAAAUCCAGAGGAGGCAAAUACUAAAAGAAGCUGCCUGCAUUCAUAUCUGGAGAGGCUGCUCAGACAACUCACAGCUUGUUUCUUAGAAAAGAGGCUGCUCAAUGGAAAUCAAGGGGAAGCUUUCCAUCUCCCGAGAGUGCUCCUUGCUAAGAACAAUUAACACACUUGUUUUUUCUUUUUAGAUCAAAACAGAUUCUUUCUUUCAUUCUCUCUGUCGAUAUCUGUCUGUCUGUCUGUCUGUCCGUCCUCUUGGGCCUUUCUAUUUUUUUUUUUAAAUGUUUCCGUUGUAAAACUAAACCACCCAAAUAUGUACAUUUUCUGAAUUUGUAGCUGCUAUUUUGCAUGGCAUAUUCUGCUUUUCUUCUUAAUUUGGGUUUUUUUUUUGUUAGUAUGGAUCUUUCAAGCUUAAUAAGGAAUGCUAUGUUUUAUGCAACACCAGAACAUUAAAAACAACACUCACAAGAAUGAAAACAGCCACUCAUUGUAUUUCAAGCAUACAAUCAGUUUUGAAUGUAUACUUCUUUCAAUCAUCUCACAGCCAACAUUUUUAUAAAGGAAAAUUAAUGCUGUAUUGUCUAAAAGCUUAAUAAUUACCAAAGCAUGUCAUCUUUCAAGAGUUUACAACACUAAAAAUCAUGUAAGAAAUUGUAGAUGCAUCCUUUUAUGUUAUCGCCAAAGAAAGGGUUUUAAAAAUAGCAAUCCGCUUUGGUGAAGCUACAAAUUUCAUUUGCCAAAAUCUUCAAGAAGCUGUUCCAAGUAACAACUACUUUGCUACUGAUAAGGUUGACCAAAGAUGGAACCUUUUACCCAUUUCAAUCAUGCAAGAUUCAUUCAAAUUCACCAUUUUGCAAAUGGAUGAUCCUCUAUAAACAUUACAGGCUCAUGAUUAUGUUCAUUAUUUGCAAGCUUCAACCUCUCCAAUCAUCAUCACUUUAUAGUAAGUUGCAACCAAAUCACAGGUUAAAAUAAUUUUUGAUACAUAGCCAUUUAGUUAAUUAGUUCGUCUUUGUUCAUUUAAUAACAACCACGAUAUACUCAAGAAAUUGUGCCGUAUUUUGCACGUACUCCAUAAAAUUUUUACAAUUGUCCAACAACUAACAAAUGAAAAAAAAUCAAAUUAUAAAAUUCAGUAAUGCUUACAAAUAUAUUAAAUUUAUCCAACUAUAAAUAUAUACAUGUUCAACGUGAAAUGCAUUAUCAUCAAUUGACAUGAACAUAAUGGCAAUUUAUUUUCUUUUUGGGGCACCGUAUGAUGAAAGUCUUUGGUUUGAAAGAAAUUAGUGCAUUUCAUUCCGAAUAUGUUGAUUAUCAAAGUAAAAGGUAAAGAUUCUUUUUCGGAAUUAAUGAAAGUUAAGAAUUAUGCCGUGAAUGGUGGCAUAAGUUAUUAAUAAUGUCCGUGUGUAAAGAGGCCUUUAGACAAUUGUUUCAUAGAUCCCUCUUCACUCAUAUAAAUCGUCACAUCAUGGGAGUUUGUCCAGCCAAAUAAAGUGAGGAUAUCCUUAAUUCCACAAUGCUCUUGAUGAUAUAACUUCAUUGUAGUCGUGCAAUAUGUAAUUCAGUCAUACAACAUAGGGAUAUCAUAUAUUGCAUCUUUUGUAAAUUGUAAAGAUUGAAAGAGUUGUUAACAUGAUUUACCUACAAAACACUGCAACCCACUAAGCACGUUUACAAAACCGGUGCUAGCUUAGUGAAAGCUUGAAAGAUAAAUGUAAAGCUUGAGGAAGCUUACUAUAGUAGUAGAGGUUUCUCCGUGAAGCAAAUAUAAUGGCUAAAGUCUUUGGGUUAUAUUUUGCAACUCUUUUGAUAUUUUCAUAUAUCUAAGCUUGGAUCAUUAGAACUAUAUAGGUAAUUAAGAGGUAGUGAUUUACAAGAAAUUACCUAACUAUGCUUUUGAUCCCUAAAUAUGAUUUUAGUUUAGAAAAUUACAUUUUUGGUCCCUGUAGUUUACAAUGACUUAAUUAAGCCUCUAUAAUUUUUAGUUUAUAAAUUUACUUCCUAUAUAGUUUUUAAUUUAAAAAAAAAAAAAAAAGAUUAUUUAGAGCUUUUGACCUUGUAGUUUCUAAUUUAGGAAAUUUCACUUUUGGUUAUUAUAGUUUUUAAUUAAUAAGUUAUAUAGUAAAAAAUGAGUAAAGUACAAUUUUGGUCUAUGUGGUUUGUGUUGUUAUUUAUUUUAGGUCUAAGUUUGAAAUUUUUAUGUAUAUGAUCAUCAUGCUAGGCAAAAAUUGAAUGUUUGGUUGCCUACUCAAUUAAAUCUCUCUAAAUGGCCAUUUUAGGCUCAUUGUUGUCUUUUUCUCAUUUUAGCUUCUAUUAUAUAAUUAUUUUUUAUUUGUUUUAUUAGAUAUCUCCUCUCUUUGCAUUUGUUUUUUUAAUUAUUUUACGUGUAUAUAUCUUAAAAUAUAUGAAUUACGAAAGUAAUUUUACAUAUGAACAUCUUAUAUUAGCUUAUUCGGUCGGAAAUAUAGGAUUAAUACACCAGGCACAACACAUGGGCCACCUCCGCUAGUUUGUAUUUUAUCCGGACUCGCAUGCAUGAAUGGAUGCAAUCAAGGAUGACAACAAUUUUUAUCAAAAAGAGAAAAAGAAAAAAAAAAACUUAUAUAAAUUUGUAUAUUCCAUUGUUUGUAUACGUUCGAUCUUAUUUAUUUAACUAUAAUUUGUGAGCUAGUAAUUUUGUGCAAUAGUCAAACUUACUAAAUUUGAAAACUUUUAUGCUUUUAUCUAAUUAAACCAAACCAAUGAAAAUAACUUUUUUUUUUCUAUAAUAAAUCUUCCGAUUCUAAUAAUUUCAAUAAAUGAAUAUGUCUAUUCUCUUUUUACUAUAUGUCAUUUAUUAGGUCUCCUAAUUAAUAUCAUAUCACUAGUCAAUCUAUUAUUGAUUCUUCAUUUUAAAUUUUAAAAUUUAAUUUUCCAACUCUAAUUACAUUAAAUUAAUAACAUUAAAUUAAAAUAAAAUUAAUACAUAUUAGUAUAUUAUAAUAUAUGUAUUUAUAUAAAUCAACAAUUAUAAUUUAUAUAAUUAGAAAAAUAUCCUUUAACUAAUAAUAUUUAAAACAAUUUAUUAAUAAUUUUGAGUUUUUAUUAACAGUUUAAUUAAUUUUGUAACCGUGGUUCUCACAUGUUUAAGAACCAAAAAGAUCAUAUGCAUUAUUUCAUGUAAACCUUGUAUGGGGUGUGAUGUUGACCAAAUUAUUGGUUGAUAACAUAAUGAAAUAUAAGGGUGUGUAUGGGGCGGUUUGGUUCGAUUAUUGGUCAAAACCGAACCAUAACCGUUAUGAUUGUUUAAUGCAUUUUUGUAGCCAUUAGGUAUGGUUAAUAUUAGUUAUGGUUAAUGGUUUUUGUCGGUUAACGGUUUUGGUUAAUGGUUAAUAUUGGUUAACCACAAAUGUUCAAAUUAAUAUAAAUGGAAAAAGUAUAUUAGCAUAAAAAAUGAAAAGAGAAUACAAAAAAUUCUUCGACGCCAAUGUUUAUAACCUAGCUUAUAGUAAUAGAAAAAAUGUGCGCAUUUGAUACUCUGAGUGAGAUAACACAUUGUCACAUACAAAAUAAAAAACAUUCAAUAAAAAAUAUAAAACUUAAAAAAAAUAAAUUGACAUUAGUAAUUUCAUAUAUUGAUAAUUGAUAUUAACAUUAAAAUAAAGCCAAAUGUUCAUACAUGUUCAAUGCGAUUAAAUCAAAAACUAUAAAAUAAAAUAGUCAAACAUUCAUAUUAUGUGUUAUCUGGAUUAAAAAAAAAAUCAAUCACUCAUAUAUAUUCAAUGUGAUUAAGUAAAAAAUCGUAAAUAAAAAAAGCCAAAAAAUACAUUCUUAAUAUAUCACAAAGUCAAAAAUAACCAAAAACUUAACUUACCUAGAAUUUUUUAUUGUAAAGUCAAAAAAUCCUUUGAAUAGGUCUAUAAAGUCUUCGAUUAUGAUUAUGAGUGUGAAGAUUAAACUAAUUGUGAAUAAUGUUUAUAAUUGUAGAAUUAGCCAAUUAGAAAUUACAACAUUAAUCAAUAAUCUAACUCAAUACAUGAUUGGAAGAUUGUAUGUGUUUGCAUGAUCAGCCUUUGAUCGUUUGAUUGCCGGUUCGUCUCAUAAUAAGUGAGGAUUAAUGAAUUAUAUUUUGAAAGUUUAAUGGGUCUUAAUAAGUUUGACUAUAUUAUUUUAUAUAUAAUCUAUCAUUUUUAUAUAUUAAAAUAUAAAGUUAGCGGUUCGGUUGACCUAUAAAACCAUAACCGAAGCGUUAGUUAUUGGUUAACAAAAAUCAAAAACCGAACCAACGGUUUUUAAAAUGGUUUGGUUAUUAUGGUUCGGUUAUAUUCGUUAAUUUGGUUUUGGUUCGGUUUUUUGGUUAAUAUGCUCACCCCUAAUGAAAUAUUUGGUUGUUUAGUUUACAUUGUACUUUGAUGAAAAAAAAAUCACAUACAUAAUGUUCAUUUCUAGCAUCUUACUUUGAUGUAGUUUUUUUUUCAAGGGCAUGAUGUUGUAAAAUUUUUGCACAAAAAAUAAUAAUCACAUACAGGAGUUGCAAAAUUUUUGCACAAAAAAUAAUAAUCAACAUACUAUAUGGAAAAUGUCGGAAAAACACAACCAAUUACCAAAAGAAAACCACUAUAUUAAUUUUAUGCCCCAUAAAAUCCUCCCUUUUGAAACCUCUAAUUGUGUUCUCAAUAAGAUGUCUAUAAUAGGUUGUGCAGGUCUGUUACAAGACAUUUAAUAAUAGGGUUUUUCUGUAUGCAACAAAAUAAUGUUGUGCUUUUCUGUAAUUAUAUAAGAUGGAACAUAUUUAGUGAAGAAGAGACUAGAAAUCACAUCACAUAAUACACCGAAAAAAGAAGCAAGAAUAAGAAAAAAAAACAAUUUCCAGAAUAAUGCUGAAACAACAUCACAUGUCAAAAUCUAAUGAAAAUGAUUUGAAAACGUAUAACAUGCAACAAGACAUUCAUUAAGUCGUCUGCAUUAUUGAGAUUAAACACAAGGGGAAAAGAAAAGAGUAAUGAGAGGGGGAUCAACCAGAUUUAGCCUUGUUUUGCUGGAAGACAACAGCAAAAAUUGGUACUCCAACACCAAUGCUGAAGGCAGUGAAAACACCAAGAGUCAUGGUCAGCUUCUGGUUCUUCAUGCGGUCCAAGUUGUACAUAUGCUUUGAAUGCAAGUACGCUGGCUCAUCAUGACCAUGUGCAUGUCCUCCCAUUCUCUUUGCUCCAGUUGAAUGGAUACCCGCUCUUUGUACUGCAUAAAAAAAUUCCCAUAUUAUCUACUCACUCAAUACAUAGUCAUAUAAUCAUAUCAUGUUUUGUGAAGAAAUUGUUGUAACAAGGAUUAAAAUAUGGUUGAUAAAUAUAAACGAACCAAUAGUUUUGUAAAAUAUUCAACUUUGAAGCACUAACAAGUAACAAACAGAUCCCAUUAUAAAAGCUAUCUAUCUAAAAGAUAAGAAUUUGACUUGUGCAUUUAAAUUUUUCUCAAUUUCCAUAUCCACCUCAGAGGUAGAGUUUAAAGGGGUACUAGUAUGAGAACCAAAAUGUCAUGACUGAUGUCGUUGAUAGAUUCAGAGAGCUGAAAGAUUUUGGAACAAUUAAAAUCUUUUAGACAUCAAUAUGAUGCAAGUUAAUCGUCACAUGAUGAUGUUUUUUGUUUUCAAGUUUAUAAACAAGGUAAGCAUUGCUGGUUUAAAAACAAAAGAAUCACUGAUUCAUUUCUCCAACUUGAACGGUAUGCUGCACAUACCCCAAAACGGCGAAUUUUCACAAGCACUUUUAGAAUAAUUUCUUUCCACAGAAAGCAAACCAAAGUAAUGAACGGUUGAAUACGUCAAAAAAAUCAUGUUAUAAUCAAUAGGAUUCAGCCAGAUCUAUACACAAUACAGUAAGCAUCGUGCACAUAGAUCAGUAGACAAAAUCGCAUUAAAGUGCGAUCCGAAUGAACCAACACCACCGUACGUUUAGUACGCUACGAAAUACAAACAUAUAAAUAUCAAAAAGUCAAAUCAAUCUAGCACAUACCAUAAUUCAAUGUUAUAUCCAGGGGAAAUUAAUACCUAGAACCUUAUAAAUGAGAUUAGGGAAGGGAUUUUUACCAGACUUAGCGAGAGACGACUCGGCAGAGACAAACAGCUUUGAAGCGCAUGAUCUCAAUCCGUUGUUCAACGCCAUAGAUACCGGUUAACGGUGGUAUUGAUGCCGGAAAUAGAGAGAAUAAUGAAAGAAUAGUCCUCAGGUGACUCGAUCAGGAAGCAAAAUUAGGGGUGCGGGGGAUAUAAAGCAUAAACGGAGGAGCAGGGAGACUGACUCGUCGGCAAAUUUGGGCCGUAGUUUAGUGGGCUAACAAAUCUGUACUCGCUUUCCUUUUUCUGGGAUAUGUAACAUGACCAACCCCUGAAGUUCAGCACAAUAGUAGUAAUCACACAAAAGUCUUAAAAAUUACUAAAAUGCCCGGUUUCGAGAAGACCUUGCUCAAAUGCAAACAAAAAUCCUACCAAAAAUGUUGAACAAAGAUCUAUUCAUCCUCUAUCUACCGGGUUUGAAACUGGGGAUAUUGUACUUUUGUAAACUUUUGAGUGCCAUUUUAGUUGUAAAGUUUUUAGUAAAGGACAUAUAAAAUAUAAAUACUAUCUAUUAGAUCAUCCGGUGUACAUUGCACGAAUCGGUCCGUGGUCUACUUGGCCACGAACCACGGCCGUGCACACCACCCCGGUUGUUUGUGGUGGCUCGUGGUCGUGGCCAUCCGUGGCCCGGACAACGAACCCAAACGCCCAAUGAAUUCGUUUCUUUCUUGUAGCCGUUGAUUUGUAUCCGUUUUAGUAGCCGUUGUUAAACGGCUAAAUUUGUAAAAAAAAAAAUAAAUAAAAAAAAAAUAAUUUAUUUACCUAUAAAUACCAUACUUUUACUCCUUAUUUUUUACACCAUUCUUUUCUUUCUCUAUACACAAACUACACACUACAUCUUCACAACCAAAAAUCAUGGAUCCCAACCAAAAUACCCCUCCAAACUACCGAAAUCGCAAACCCGAUAACGCUUUUGCGUUAGACACAACACCUCGACAAUUCCCGACGAUGGAGUCACCUCAAGGCGGUUUUAUCAAUUUACUUCAAAGUGGUUUCCCUAUCCAACAAACACCACUUUUCCAACAACAAUAUCAACCUUUUCCGGCUUUCCAACAACAACAAAUGCAACAACAAUACCAACAAUUUCAACAAUUCCAACAACUACAACAACUACAACAACAAUCGUCACAACAACAACCACCAAGCUCACAACCACCACUUUCGCCGGAUUUUGUUCCGGAAACGCAACCUUCACCACCACCUCAACCAAAAAAGAAAAAAGGAAAAAAACCGGCCCGACCCACUACCAACCAAGAAAGGGUCCCAUGGACAAAAGAAGAAGAAGAAAAGUUAGCGGAGGCAUGGGUGGCGGCUUCCGAAGAUCCAAUUGUAGGAGAUAGCCAGACGUACGGAAGUUUUUGGGAAAAAGUCCGAGCCAUUUUUUACGAGUUAAUGGAAAGUGAAGCUCGAAAUGCCGAUCAAAUUACGUCGAAAUGGCGAGAUAUUCGAUUAAAAUGCACCGAUUUUGGAGGAAUCUACAACAAUCUCCUAAACAUACGCAAAAGCGGCUCGAACGAUUUUGAUGUUUUCAAGGCGGCCAUGGACCAAUAUGAAAAAACAACGCCUACACGCAAAGCUUUUCCGUAUAUGAAGCCGUGGCUAAAAUUGAAAGACUCCCCAAAAUGGAAAGAGCAAACGGAAGGAAGUUCCCAAUCUUCCGGUUCAAAGCGUUCGAGAAACCCCGAUGGAGCUUCUCAACAAUCGGACGGCCGAACACACAUCGACAUCAACGACGAUCCGAUAGAUCUUGAAACCGACCAACCUCUUCCUCGGCCCGUUGGAAGAAAUAAAGCAAAAAAAGCGGCGUCAACAUCUUCGAAUUCUAGUGUUAUGGAUAUGUUCGGCGAUAAAUUUGAUCGAUAUGUGCAGCUUCAGGAAACGAAGGCCGAGGUGAUGACUCGGAUGGAACAAAAAAUGAUCGAAGCACAAACAUCAUUUCAAGAGGCACAAGAGACACUCCAAACAAAAACCGAUAUGGAAAUCUUGAAAAUGAAAGCGGACGACCUUGAGGGCGAAGACUUGGAACUUUUUCUAGCAAUGAAAGAGUCGGUUCGAGCCCGACGUAGGCGUAGGGGGUAGUUUAUUUUAUGUAUGGUUGGAAUUUUUAGUUUUUUAAUGUUUUUUUUUUUUAUUUUUUUUUAAAUUAACUAACUAAUGUAAUUUUUAUUUUGAUUGUUAUUUUUAUUUUAUUUUUUAAUUUCAAUUAAUUUAGUUUUUAUUUAAUGUAAUUUGGUAUUUUAAUUUAAUGGAAAAAUAGUAUUAAAAAAUGUUUUUAAUGUAUUUUUGAAUUAAAUUUAAAUAAAAAAAUGAGGUGGAGUGGUGUUUUAAUGUAUUUUUGAAUUAAAUUUAAAUAAAAAAAUGAGGUGGAGUGGUGUGUUUAGUGGUAAGUACCCCAUGUAUGUGGUAGUGGAAUGUGGUGAUGAUGUGGCACCCACCACAUAUGUGGUAUGUGGUGGGUAUAACGGAUGGCCUAAGUUGAUGAAGGAGAUGGAAAAGGGGAGGNGACCAUCCGUUAUACCUACCACAUACCACAUAUGUGGUGGGUGCCACAUCAGCACCACAUUCCAUUAUCACUAACAUGGGAUACAUCAGACCAUCCGUUAUACCUACCACAUACCACAUAUGUGGUGGGUGCCACAUCAGCACCACAUUCCAUUAUCACUAACAUGGGAUACUUACCACUAACACACCACUCCACAUCAUUUUUUUAUUUUUUUUUAAUUCAAAAAUACAAUAAAAUAACUAUUUUUUUAAUUCAAAAAUACAAUAACAUUACUUUUUUUUUAAUCCAAAAAUUAAAAUAAAAUUACAAUUUUUAAAAGUAAAAAGCAUUUAUUUUUUUAAAACUAUUUUUUCAUUAAUUAUAAAAAUAAAAUAACAAUUUUAAACUACAUUACUUAGUUAAUCUAGAAAACAAACAUUACAUUAAUAAGAAAACGAACAAACAUACAUAUAAAAAUCCUAAUCGUCGUUCAUGCUAUGUUGGUACAAAUGUUCCGCGACAUCUUCUCGAAGAUUGAAACACGUUUCACUGUUAUGGAUUUCGACAACUCGCUCCAAAAAAGCAUUCGUUCCGGGUACGAACUCCUCAAUUGGAACGACAACGUCGUUCGGAUCAUACGUGCAAAUCGCUCGACCUUCAUUUUCAAUAAUCAUAUUAUGCAUUAUAAUACAUGCUAGGACCAUUCGCUUAAUUCUUUCUUUAUCCCAAAGUCGUGUAGCAUAUUUCACUACAUGCCAUGUUUGCUUAAGGACUCCAAAUGCCCUCUCGAUAUCCUUUCUCGCUGAUUCCUGUUUUUUUGUAAACAAUUUUGCUUUUUCACUUCGAGGAACUGAGUAUGCCUUCAUCAAUGUAGAAUAAUCCGGGUAUAUCCCAUCACCAAGGUAGUAACCAUAUUUGUACGCGUGCCCGUUUACCGUGAACGUCAUAUCAGGUGCUUUGUCGGUCCAAAUAUCGUUGAAAAGUGGAGACUGACCAAGAACAUUAAGGUCGUUGUUAGACCCCGCUACUCCAAAAAAGGCAUGCCAUAUCCACAAAUCUUGAGAUGCAACAGCUUCUAGGAUGAUAGUUGGUUCACCUAUAUCUCCUCGAGUGAACUGACCACGCCAUGCAGUUGGACAUUUUUCCCAAGCCACAUGCGUACAAUCUAGACUGCCAAGCAUACCGGGAAAUCCAUGCCUCUCUUCAUGAGCCGAAUAUAAUCUCUCAAUAUCACGUUGAGUAGGUUUACGCAAAUAUUCUUCGUGAAAAACCUCAUAAACACAUGCAGAAAACCAAUCUACACAUUCAACCGCGGUCCUCUCGGAUAUUUUCAAGUAUUCGUCAGAUGCAUCAAAUGCUAUACCGUAUCCCAAAUACCUAAGAGCAGCCGCACAUUUUUGUAUACUACUAAAACCCAUUCUUCCUCUAGCAUCGGGUUUUUGUUUGAAAAAAUCAUAACGAGAUUCUAAAGCAUUACUAAUACGUAAAAAUAUAGCCUUAUUCAGACGAAAACGACGUUCGAACGAGUCGUCAUUAUAAAGACAAUUAUCGGCAAAGUAAUCACGUACCAAUAAGUCGUGUGCGGCUUGGCGAUCACGAUUGACGACCGUCCUUGUACGCGCUGCAUUCGAACUUUCUUCGGCGUGAACGUGUUGCACAACAUUGAAGAAUGUCUCGACGAAUUCUACGUCGUCAUCCGAGUCAAAACUUUUUAAAAAUUCCAUAUUUAUCGAGGGAUCCAUAGGUGUAAUUGAGUGUAGAAUGUAUAUGUAUGUGUAUGUGUUUUGGUAUUGAGUUUUGUAAUUGAGUUUUUAUAGUUGAGUUUGAAAAAAAAAAAAAAGGAAAGGCCACAAAAUAGCCGUUCAACGGCUCAAAAUAUUCGACCAAUAGCAAUCCUCGUUUCAUUUCGUUGUCCCGAGCACAUUUUGCAACGACCACGAACCACCGGGACGGUGUGCACGUCCGUGGUUCGUGGCCAACUAGACCACGGACGUAUUCGUGCUACGUACACCGGUUGGCCUCACUAACAUGGGAUACCUACCACUAACACACCACUCCACCUCAUUAUUUUAAUUAAAUUUAAUUCAAAAAUUCAUAUAGUUGUUUUUUUAAAUACUAUUUUUCAUUAAUUUAAAAUACUAAAUUACAUUAAUUAAAAACUACAUUAACUAAAACGAAAAAAAUUACGUUAAAACUAAAAAUUACAUUAAGUAAAAAAUAAAAAAAAAAACAAUAAAAAAUACAUUAAUAAUUAAAAAGCUAAAAAUACCAAACUUCUAAUUUGUGUUUUUUUAAGCAAGAUUAUUCCAUUUUGAGGAAUUCUUCAAUUUUUGCCAAGCUUUAACAUGUCUAAAACGUUGCUGAUUUGAGUUUUCAUAUUGCUCCAUGGCCAUAUUAACCGGAUCGAUAUCGGCUUCAUGAACGUUGUUUAUAACAAAGUUGUAAAUUCCAUUGAACUCAUAACACUUGACCCUCAUAUCGUGCCACUUCAAGCAUAUUUCAUCAACAUUUCGAAUUGCACCACCCAUUAAACCAUUGAAAACACUUUCAACAUUUCUCCAAAAAGAACCGAAAGUUUCACCAACGUCUUCUUCCGAAACUAUCACCCAAGCUUGUGCUAAUUUCUCUUCUUCUUCUUUUGACCAUUUCUUAUUUUUGGGAGGCAUGAUUUUUAAAGGAUCAAACAACAAAAAUAUAUUUAAAUGGAGUAGAAUUGUAUGAAAAAUAAGAAGAUAUUGGUAGUAUUUAUAGGUAAAUAUUGAAGAAAUUGAAAAAUAGCCGUUAGGAAGGGGGAAGAAAGGUCAAACACGAUUUAAUGCAAGAAAUGAAGCUAUUGGCCAUUUAGAUUCGUUGUCCGGAGCACGGAAGGCCACGACCACGACCCACCACGAACCACCGGGGUGGUGUGCACGGUCGUGGUUCGUGGCCACCUAGAUCACGGACCAUCUCGUGCAAUGUAUACCAUUUGGCCUUACGUUUCCAUCAACGUGUAAAAGUCACCAUUCUCCCUCAAUGGCAUUUCANUGGAUAUUUUGUUGAUAAUACGAGUAGGCACUGCUUACCUAUCCAAAAUUUACGAAACCUAUGACUAGUCCUAAAAGCUCGAUCAUAACGGUUCUUCCAACUGAUCCUAAAACCACAAGUGAAUAAACUUUUGGGUGACAAAUAUGAUGAACUUUUUGAUAGUAAAGUACGUAUAUGAAAAGAGAUAAUGACUUAAAAUGGUAAUAUAUUUUUCGAUUUAUACAUAUUUAGUAACUGAUUUUUUCUUCGUCCACAUUUAUCCCUUUAAUUUGUUAGACUGUAUACAUUUAGUCCUUAUGACCGGCUACUCCAAGUUAGCCAGUAAAAUAACUUAAUAGGGUAAUAUAUUUUUCAUUUUGUACAUAUUUAGUCAUUAAUAUUUUUAUACAUAUUUAGUCCUUAAUAUUUUUUUGUUGCAAAAUAAAUCAUUUUUAUGUUUGUACUUAUCAGUACUUAUGAAUGAUUUCUUUAGGUUUUUCGUACAUCUUACGUGGGAAACCAUAUGGUGGUGGGAUAGGUUGAGUUGGUUCUGCUAUAUGUUGUAGGCCAAGAUACCUGGUGCGGGUCGGCUAUAAGCCGUAGGCAUAGAGGUUUGAGAAGAGCGGUUGGGUUAAGGCGGCACGCCGACAAACCCUGGGUAUUCCAGCCCGAUGACCGAUUGGACCAGUUGCAUGUUGGCAUUCCAAUCCGAUGACUGAUGGGCCAAACUAUUCCAAUAUGAUGAAUUUGGACCCGUUAUGGAUGAUAAUACGUUGGGAAACUCACUAAACUUUGUGCUUACCCAAUUAUUUAUGUUUUCAGGUUCUAUCGUUGAUCGUAGGAAGGCGAAUGCAUGACUGUACACACUCAUCAACAAUAUUGAGGAUUCCACGUUUCUAAUAUUACUUGAUUUUCAAUAAAUGUAUUUUGGAAUAAACAUUUUUUCUUAAUAAUGGAUUUAUAAUUAGGGACUUUUGCUUAUUUAAAAAAGAAAUUUUUGUUUGUGAAAAUGAGACGUUACACAUAAACAUUGUGACAAUCCGAAUUUUCUUCCGUUAAUUUUAACCCCCAUCCGUUAAUAAAAUUUAAUAUUAUUGUAUUUUUCCGUCGACUUCUUGGGUUAAGUAAAUCAACUAAGGUUUUAGUUAUAAUUCUAUAUGAGUCGGAAAACCAAAGAUCGCACGAAAAAGCUUAUUUUCUCAAAAAGCAACGAGUUCACAGCCAAGACGAGUUUACAGCCGUAAACCCGUUUACGGUCGGUGCCAGGUGGUCCCAUCACUGACCAUACCCCUGGCCUAUAAAUACAGGACCCCCACCCUCAUUUGAACCUUCUUGGCCGGAAACACCCACUUUCACUCUCUAAACCUCUUGACCGUAAACACCAAAAAGCUCUUCUUUCACCCGAAAAACACCGGAAAUCGUCAUUUGGGGUCGUUUGGGAACAUCUGGAACACUUUUUCGUCAAAAACAAGCACCCUUAUUCUUAAGUUUACGACCGUAAUCCUUCAGAUCUUCAAAAGUCGCAAACUCAGUUCACGGUCGUAAACCCUGUUUAGGACCGUAAACCCAGUUCUCGGCUGUAAACUCCAUUCGCGACCGUAAACCUUGUUCACAGCCGUAAACCCCAUAUACGGUCGUAAACAGCUCUUUCGUGGGAAAAAGCCUGUUUCCUUGAUUCAACCAAGUCCUGGUAACAUUCCUUAACUGAAACCAAGUGUUUAUCUAACACUUUAUCUAACAAAAUCGCUAAUUUAGAUACGAAUAUGUAUUUGUUGAUAUUAGGAUUCUGUUAAGUGUCAUGUGCGUCGACUCAAGGAUCUUCCAGUUCAAUCCUUUGCAACCAACUAACUGUGAGUUCAUACCCUUACACUUUUAUAAGUUUUUAUAACGUUUUCAGGGGGAAUACAAGCUAAACAUAAAGGUUUGCAUAAGUUAAAAAGUGAUGCAAUUACAACGGUUUUACAUCAAACUUUUAGAUAAUUUAUCCCUUUUGUAAUAUGCGGAGCAUAAGGGAUGCUUUCUAAACAUAAUUGCAUAGUUUUCAGAACAAUACAUGAACAUAACAUACCAGUCAAACUAUAAUAGGUAUAGUUUGGGGAAUUCUUUACCGGUUUUACAGAUUCAAACACAAACUGUGGCUGAUUUAGUUUAUCCAUAUUACAAUCAGAUAACAAGAGUAUCUUACUAAAUAAUUAUUUUGCGUAUAAUUAUUUAUACUCUACACCGUAUACAAACGAUUUCGAACACGAGAACAACAGAACAACACGUAAACUAGUUAAUAUAGGAUUGUGAGACCUUCUUCAUAGUACCCUUCGGGGUAAUGGUAAAUCCUAUACUUUUAGUAUAACCAGAGUCUCUUGGAGGGAGAACGUGAGAAUUAUGAAUAGAUAUAUUCGGGACCGACAAUCCCACACCUGAACUGUUAACUACAGUUAGGCAAACAUGCCUGGGUGACAAAUUUUGUAACAUCUGACGCUUGAAGAAACGUCAUGGAGGUCAUCAGUCAUAUUAGCAUGGUUAUACGAACUCACAAUAGUAUUAACUAACCUUUGUUUACGACAUUUUCUUUCUUCAAUAGUUUUAUUUUAAUUAAUAAGACUACUUACUUACUACACUGGAGGGUAUUCCUGGGAUCCAACCUUUGGUUUUAUUUUAAGUAAUAAAACUACCUUUCAUACUGGCGGAAGCCAGGGUUUUCGAACAGCACAAACAUCACUUACUGGUGGGAGCCAGGGUUUUCGAACGUAACACAUCUUACUUACUGGUGGUAACCAGGGUUUCGAUACAAACGAUAUUUAUUUAUAAUGAAAAGAAAUCAUUUGUACAAAUUUAGUGACUAGUUUCCAAUACAAAAACAUGCUUAUGAACUCCCCAGCUUUAUGUUGAUACGUUUUCAAAACCGCUUGUAUUCUCAGGACAACGAUAGACAGGUACCUUUGCCAGCUUUUGGAGAAGACGGAGCAUUUUGGAGUCUUGUCUUUAUCUUUUACUACUUUUUGAUUUAUACAAGCUAUGUUUUCAAACAGAUAUAAAUAUUCAUAUUAUAAUGUAAUGGUUGUGUUUACUUUGGUUGCUAUGAUACGAUUGUUGUGAUACUACACAUGACGUCACCCGCCCCCGGACGUUUCCGCCAUCUGUUCUGAUGGUUCGGGGUGUGACUGAUUGGUAUCAGAGCCAUUGUUUAUAGUGAACUAAGUAUACCGAACCUUACAUGGUAUACAACUAUAAACACUAAGGGGCUGAAGUGAUCUGAACUAAAAGUAUACUUUUAAAAUAUAAGUAUUUUACUAGAAGUAUACAUGUAUACCUACAUACCAGAAACAAUAUCAUAAGUAGAACAGAAAAAAAGUAUUUGGAUGUUGGGCGCUGCGGUUAAACCUGGGUAGUUAUGUAAUCAUGUCUAGGUUCAAUAUAGUCUGAUCAACUAUAUUCAUUCGAGACAUGACCAACAUAUACUUGGGAGUGAAUGUGGUGUUGCAAUAGGCCUAGAACUUACCAAGUAUUCCUACCACAAGAUAUCGAUACAACAAAACAGAUAACUUAAAAUACUAAUGGAGGAUUUUAGUUAGAACCAAAUACAUUGUAGGGAUUUGUUCCAAGUGUUGCUACUCAUUCUCUCAUAGCGACAUUUUACUUGUAUUAGUAACUUUUCCUUAUUUAUCACUUAGUAGCACACUUUACCUAUCAGAUAGAGAUAUACCUUGUUUCAAAUCUCUUGAUUCAAAAGUCAAAAGGACUUAUCAUCUUCUUCUUCCUGAUAUAGAACAAGAUGCCUCCAAAGAAAAGACCCAACAGAAAGAACAACAAUCCUCCAACAGAUCCAGCUCCAUCACCUCCUCAGUUCGAUCCUGCUAUGUUUCAGGCAGUUGUUACUGCUACAGUGGCUGUCGCAAUGUCACAGAUAAAUUCUAGUGGCUCUAGCGGGUUAGGAAGUGGUGCCCAUUCCCUCAAUCUGGAAGGUGGUCAGGGACAUCUGAAAGAGUGUUCCUACAAGGACCUUAUGAAUGCAAAACUGUUAAGUGUGUCAAACCCAACAAAUAAAGGGGUAAAAAAUGACUCCUUAAACACUACUACUAUGCACUAAUAAUGUAGUACAAGGUAAUUAGGGUCGAUCCACAGAGACACAGGACAAGUGUUUAUACCUUUUUGCGUAAGGUAAAAAAAUGGUCACAGCAUAGGGGGAAUAUAUAAGCAAUGAUUUAAACUAUAGAAUAAAGCAAUAAGUAAAUGAUUGAUUUAAUGAAGUAGAUUCAAGAUUUGUAAGGACUCCAACUCCAUGCAAGACAAAUUAGCAAUGUGAUUCCAAGGAUGAAAUGAUAUUUGUUCAAUUCUAUCUAAAUUGGUACAUGGAAAUGCUAACAAGAUCUAGCACCUCCCAUUCACCACAUUGAUUAACCAAAAUAAGCUCUUUGAUUAAUCCUAACCUUACCAAUCUAAUCUAAACAAGCUCUUAGAAUUAGGUUGAAAGAUUGCAUUAAACUUUAUGUGAAUGUUCCCAACAACACUCAUUACUCCUCAUAAGCUCGGGAGCAUAAGAAUGUGUGAAUAAGAUUUACACUAAAUUCAUUCAAUAGAAAUCAGUUUAGUGCUUGUUACCUUGUCCAAUUUACAAAACAAUUACAGAUUUUUGAAAUUAGAUAACUUGAAUGAUCUAACCCUAAUUCAAAUGGCCAAUAAGAAUCACAAUUAGAAUCAAACAUUCGAUUGAAACAAAAUCAAAUUCACUAGAUACAAAAUUGAAAGAAAACAUCAAGUCAUGUGAUUGAAAUCACAACUAGAAGUCAAGACAUAAAGUUGGAGAAUCUAGGGUUUUAGCCACUCAUGACUAGAACAAGAUCACAAAUCUAGAAAAUGAAAUUAAAGUUCUUACAAAAUGAAAUAAAAUGUUCCCAAGUGUUAAUCAACUUCAAAAUCCUCAAGAAAUUCGCCUUCUCCACCCCAAAAGUCGACCUACUAAGUAAAAAGUCAGUUCCCCCUUUUAAGAAUUGUGAAAAACUGCUUUAAAACCCACGUUUACGUUUACACGGCCCGCGUAAAUUAACACUGUCAUUUACAUGGCCCGCGUAAACACAAAAAUAUACUGCGCAGAAAUCUACGUUUACACGACACACGUGAACACAAGGCUUGCAUUUACACGGACGUGUAAAUAUCUGUAAAGCCAAAAUCUUCAUUUCUUUGAUAUCUUGCUCCUUGAUGCUCCACAAGUCCCGAAACUUCAUCCAAAUCUCUUAUUCAUCACCUCAACUAAGUUCCAACCUCCAAAAGUCCCUGAAAUAUCACAAAAGUAUUUGAAUGAAUGUGCCUCAUGAAAAAUCCCAAAAAACAUGCAAAAUGCAUGAGUUUAAGCCUAUAUGCAAUGUACUUUUAUGAAAUAAAGCUACAAAAUGGGUACAUGAAAUGCACCUAACAAAAACCCAGAUCCUUUGACAGCAAUUGAGUCAUCGUUGCCCUAAAUCGAUGGAUCGAGAAGAUCGAAUCAGUCUUCGAGAUCUGCGCAUGCUCGGAAGCGACCAAGGUGAAGUUUUCUAGUUGCACCUUCAUAGGCAGAGCAUUUACCUAGUGGAAUAGUAGAUUCAAAUCCCUAAACCUGCCAGUAGCAAAUGCUAUGGGUUGGGAGAGCUUGAAGGAGCUCAUGCUUGCUGAGUACUGCCCACGGGGCGAGAUGCAAAAACUGGAGCACGAGCUAUGGAACUUGAAGAUGAAGAGUUCCAACAUUGUUGCCUACACUUCUAGGUUUGAAGACCUAACACUUCUUUGCCCGAUAAUGGUCACCCCGGAAAGCAAGAAGCUAUAGAGAUACAUUUGGGGAUUGACGCCCCAACUCAAGGAAAUGUUUUGGCCGCUAGGCCAACCACUUUCGACAGCACCAAGUACCUGGAACAAACUCUCAUAGAUCACGGAGUUAAUCUUGAUAAAGUGACAGCCGCUCCCGAACCAUCUAAGGAAAGUGGUGAGAAGAGAAAGUUCUAGAAUCAGCGAAAGGGCCAGUCUUCACAGGAGUCCUCUAAGAAAUAACAUACAGUGGCAAUUCACGCUGCUAUUACUCUUGUCGCUGUUCCUGCAACUCAAGCAACCACCAGUGGAUAUACUCGUACCCUCCCUUGGUGCAGCAAGUGAAAUUAUCAUCAUAACCCUGACCCAUCUCGAGAAAUGCUCUGCAACAGCCGUGGCAAGAAGGGGCACACAGCUCGUUUCUGUAAAACUCCAGUCCAACUAAAUAAUUAGGCCUCUGGAGCAGGUGUUGGUCAAGCCUGUUAUGGCUAUGGGGAAGUCGGGCAUUACAGGAGAAACUGCCCCAAUGCAACAACAACUGGCAACACGGGGAGAGUACUGACUAUGCGGCAAGAGGAGGUAGUUGUUGACCCUACCGUUGUUACGGAUACGUUCCUCCUCAACAACUCUUAUGCAUGCAUUCUUUUCGAUUCUGGUGCGGAGAGAAGUUUUGUUAAUUAUGCAUUCAAACACCUUCUCAAACAUAAACCCCAAUCUUUAACUGAAAAAUUUACUGUCGAGAUGGCUAACGGUGAGAAAGAGAGCACUAACGACAUAUUCGUAGCCUGUACCCUUACCCUAAAUGAUCAUUCAUUUCCAAUCGAUCUUAUGCCAGUUUCGAUAAAGAGAUUCGAUGUCAUCAUCGGCAUGGAUUGGUUGAGCCCCAAUCAUGCUGAUAUCCUUUGUUACGAAAAAGCUAUUCAUCUCAAUCUACCCUCUGGUGAAGCCCUCAUGAUAUAUGGUGAUAAACUCAGUUCAAACCUCCGUAUCAUUUCGUGCAUCAAAGCCCAGAAACUUCUGCGAAAGGAGUGUCAUGCAUUCCUAGCCCAUGUUGUUAACGAGAAGCAGGAAGUUAAAGACCUCGAGAGCAUCCCUGAAGUCUGCAACUUUACCGAUUUCUUUCCCGAAGAGCUCCCGGGAAUCCCUCCCGAGCGUUAAGUCGAAUUUUGCAUCGACUUAAUUCCCGGAGCUACCCCUGUAGCUAAAUUCCCUUACCGCCUAGCACCAACAAAAAUGCAAGACUUAUCUAGCCAGCUCAAUGAACUCCUCAACAAAGGAUUCAUCAGACCGAGUUCCUCACCGUAGGGAGCCCCGAUUUUAUUUGUGAAAAAGAAGGAUGGAUCUUUCCAGAUGUGCAUUGACUACUGUGAACUGAACAAGCUCACCGUUAAAAACCGUUACCCUCUUCCUCGAAUCGACGACCUUUUCGAUCAACUUCAAGGAGCCAGCUACUUCUCCAAAAUAGACCUAAGAUCAGGGUACCAUCAGUUGCGAGUCCACGAGAGUGAUGUUCCUAAAACAACAUUUCGGACUCGACAUGGUCGCUACGAAUUCGUAGUAAUGCCCUUUGGUCUAACCAACGCACCGACGAUAUUCAUGGAGCUGAUGAAUCGUGUGUGCCGUUCAUUCCUGGACAAGUUUGUAAUCGUGUUUAUAGACGAUAUACUUGUUUAUUCCAGAAGUGAGGAAGAUCACAUACAACACUUGAGAUUGGUGCUGGAAACUGUAAGGACGGAGAAGCUAUACACUAAAUUCUCCAAGUGCGAAUUAUGGAUUCGAAAAGUAACUUUCUUAGGUCAUGUAGUAAGCGAGGAAGGAAUAUACGUGGACCCCACCAAAAUCAAAGCGAUAGAGAACUGGUCAGCACCGAAGACGCCCAUAGAAAUCUGUCAAUUCUUGGGUCUCGCUGGCUAUUAUCGCAGGUUCAUCCAGAAUUUCUCCAGAAUUGCCAAACCCUUAACCACUCUGACUCAGAAAGGUGUGCCCUUUUGUUGGAGCGAAAUGCAAGACACUGCGUUCCAAACAUUGAAGCAGGCCCUAUGCAGCGCUCCUAUCUUGUCUCUGCCUGAAGGGACGGAUGACUUCGUUGUCUACUGUGAUGCAUCCAACCAGGGCUUAGGCUAUGUGCUCAUGCAAAGAGGAAAAUUUAUUGCUUAUGCCUCAAGACAGCUGAAGGAACACGAAGUCAAUUAUACAACUCAUGACCUGGAGUUGGAAGCAGUGGUCUUCGCAUUGAAGAUAUGGAGACAUUACCUCUACGGAACCAAGUGCACUAUCUUCACUGACCAUAAAAGCCUGCAGCACAUCUUUGACCAGAAGGAAUUGAACAUGAGACAACGACAAUGGGUAGAGCUACUCAACGAUUAUGAGUGUGAAAUACGCUACCAUCCCGGCAUGGCCAAUGUGGUGGCAGAUGCCCUUAGCCGAUAAGAAUGCUUAGGACGUAGAGUGAAGGCAUUAACAAUGAUCAUCCAUUCCCACUUAUCCGCACAAAUAAGAGAGGCUCAACUAGAAGCCCUAAAACCAGAGAACGUGUUGGAUGAAGCCUUGAGAGGAAUGGAGAAAAACUUAGAGGUCAAGGAAGACGGAGCCUAUUAUUUCAUGAACCAGAUUUGGACCCCAAAGUUCGGUGGUUACAGAGAUGUUGUCAUGAACGAAGCUCACAAAACUAGAUAAUCCGUUCACCCAGGUUCGGAUAAGAUGUACCUCGAUCUCAAGAAGCUAUAUUGGUGGCCAAACAUGAAACAGAGACCGCUACCUUCGUAGGCAAGUGUCUGACUUGCACCAAGGUGAAAGUCGAAUAUUAGAAGCCCUUAGGUUUGCUUCAGCAGCCAGAGAUACCUGAGUGGAAGUAGGAAAGGAUUACCAUGGAUUUUAUCACUAAAUUACACAGAUCUCCGAGUGGGUACGAUAUCAUCUAGGUAAUAGUCGACCGAUUGACAAAAUCCGCUCACUUCCUGCCAAUCAAAGAAACUUUCAAAAUGGAGAGACUCACGCGAAUCUACAUCCAAGAGAUAGUCCGAAUGCAUGGCGUGUCGAUAUCCAUUAUCUCCGAUCGAGAUACCAGGUUUACCUCGAGAUUUUGGUAGUCACUGCAGAAGGUUCUUGGAACUAAGUUGGAUACGCUGUCACACCCCCAAACCAAGGAUGGCGGAAACGUCCAGGGGUGGAGGACUUCAUGUGUAGUAUCAUAACAACAAUGGUAAUAGUGAUGAAAGUAAACGCAACCAACACAUAUAUAUAAUUGAAAGAGUUACAUCAUUGUAUGAAUUACAUGUUUCAAAAUCAAUUACAAUAUGUUGACAAAAUAUGAUAAGUUUGACGCCACAACGUCCCAUCCUCAAAAGUACUUUGUUACCUGUUUAGUGAUUUCCUGAGAAUACAAGUAGUUUUAAAAAAAAACGUCAACACAAUGGUUGGUGAGUUCAUAAGUUUUUGUAUAUAAUUAUGAAAAAAGCUUGUCAUGUAAUUGUAUAGUUGUUCCAGAAAAAUCCGAUAUUUUCCUUAAAAUGAAUAAUGUAGUCUUGUAUCCAAAGACUGAAAUAUAUGAGUAAUCUUUCUUAUUUACAGAAAAUAAUGUGUGUUUAUUUCAACACAAACGCGUAUGAUAUCAAUGAAACUCUCGUAUAUUGUUAAGUUUGUUAAUACUUUCUGUGAGCUAUUAUAACCAUACUAUGACCUAGGUGGCCUGAAUACGACGUUCUUCGGGCGUCGUAGAACUGAAAUGACACUUGUCACCCGUAGACCUGCAGGUCCAACUGUAGCUAGCAGCAAGGUGUGGGGUGUCAAACCCAAUAUAGAUCUAUAUACAACUAUCACGCUCUCCUUCCAGGAGACUCUGGUUACAAUACAGGACUUAUGAUUUAUGUGAAGAGGAUGUCUCACAAAGUUAUUAACGAAUUUACACUUAAUCAUAAUGAAAGUUUCCUUUUUGUAAUGUAUGCAUUU